RNAcentral lists this ribosomal RNA (253 nucleotides) under uncultured bacterium. Its description in RNAcentral is "partial 16S ribosomal RNA". It matches the Rfam family "Bacterial small subunit ribosomal RNA", at positions 524 to 776 of the family's 1533-position model. The record is from RNAcentral.
UACGUAGGGUGCAAGCGUUAUCCGGAAUUAUUGGGCGUAAAGAGCUCGUAGGCGGUUUGUCGCGUCUGCUGUGAAAACUGGGGGCUCAACCCCCAGCCUGCAGUGGGUACGGGCAGACUAGAGUGCGGUAGGGGAGAUUGGAAUUCCUGGUGUAGCGGUGGAAUGCGCAGAUAUCAGGAGGAACACCGAUGGCGAAGGCAGAUCUCUGGGCCGAUACUGACGCUGAGGUGCGAAAGCGUGGGGAGCAAACAGG